GAGAUUUGGUUAACUUUACUAAAAUGAGAAGAUACACAAGAAUCAUACACAGUCUUUUACAGCAUCAGAAAGACCCUUAUGAUUUUAACUUUGAUCCUGAGAUAUCUAAAGUUCUGCUGACAACAGAGUUGCCAGGAGAUGAGAAUGCUCUUUAUGAAUAUGUUGAUGAGCUUAGAGACUGUCCUUUAUCACCUUCUUCCUCAUCCUCCUCUUCCUCUGAACAAUAGAUAAAUGCAUUAUCAUUAUAACACUUCAUGUGUCUCAAACAUGUUAACUUUAUACUGUCUGUUUUAUUUUGUAUUUUAUUUGUCCAAAAUUUUUUUACCAUAUUUUA
RNAcentral lists this unclassified non-coding RNA (334 nucleotides) under Amphimedon queenslandica. RNAcentral's name for it is "ras-specific guanine nucleotide-releasing factor 2- like, transcript variant X1". The record is from RNAcentral. Lineage: Eukaryota; Metazoa; Porifera; Demospongiae; Haplosclerida; Niphatidae.